CCUACGGGUGGCUGCAGUGGGGAAUAUUGCACAAUGGGCGCAAGCCUGAUGCAGCGAUGCCACGUGUGUGAAGAAGGCCUUCGGGUUGUAAAGCACUUUCAGCGGGGAGGAAGGCGUUAAGGUUAAUAACCUUGUCGAUUGACGUUACCCGCAGAAGAAGCACCGGCUAACUCCGUGCCAGCAGCCGCGGUAAUACGGAGGGUGCAAGCGUUAAUCGGAAUUACUGGGCGUAAAGCGCACGCAGGCGGUCUGUCAAGUCGGAUGUGAAAUCCCCGGGCUCAACCUGGGAACUGCAUUCGAAACUGGCAGGCUAGAGUCUUGUAGAGGGGGGUAGAAUUCCAGGUGUAGCGGUGAAAUGCGUAGAGAUCUGGAGGAAUACCGGUGGCGGAGGCGGCCCCCUGGACAAAGACUGACGCUCAGGUGCGAAAGCGUGGGGAGCAAACAGGAUUAGAUACCCGGGUAGUC
Molecule: ribosomal RNA, 465 nt
Filed under: uncultured Klebsiella sp.
Lineage: Bacteria; Pseudomonadati; Pseudomonadota; Gammaproteobacteria; Enterobacterales; Enterobacteriaceae
Description: bacterial SSU rRNA
Rfam family: Bacterial small subunit ribosomal RNA
Source: RNAcentral